This 1129-nucleotide long non-coding RNA is filed under the name Musa acuminata (dwarf banana). Its description in RNAcentral is "long non-coding RNA (MACU_LNC006952)". Lineage: Eukaryota; Viridiplantae; Streptophyta; Magnoliopsida; Zingiberales; Musaceae. The record is from RNAcentral.
UAAAACAAGGGAUAAGGGAAUUGAGAUCAGGAGCGGAGUAGCCAAAGCUCAAUCUAUAACAAGUCAGAUUUAGGUCCGGGAGUCUAAGAAAGGGCUCGGGCUACUAGGCCUAGUUCUAAUCCUGUUGUAGGGUAACCAAAUUAUGUUACCGCGUAGUCGUAUUCCUAGUUAUUAGUAAAAGCAUGAAACCAAGGAGAGUAAGGCCCAUAAUAAGUCAAGCAAGAGUUAGUACAAAGAGGGACACUGCUUUGCUUGCAGACUCCUGACUCACUGUUGACUUAGACGGCUUCCCUUUGACAAUGUAUGAUCUAUGAACUUCCAGAAAUGAAUCGCAACCCUGAUGAGCUUUCUUUCAUAUUUGUUGCAUAUCUUAACCCCGCUGCUCCCGUAAGCGCGCAAUAAACAGGACUUGCUCUUGCCUUCAACUCUCAAUCAGGGUCGAGCAAACAAACCUUGUGAGUUCUGUUGCCGCAAAGGGGAAGUCUAGUGAACCUUAAGAAUGCUUUGGAAGCCGGUAUAGUUCACCUUAAGAAUGCUUUGGAAGCCGGUAAGAUUAAUAAGAAAGGGAAGAGCUGUGUAUUUACUCCGUUCUAUCCAAGGACCGUGUACUCCAUAAUGAUAAUCCAUUCAUGGUUGACUCCGCGCUCUCCACAGAAUCCAUUAUUUCUGAAGCUACUGUUAUCGGUGCUAACUCUCCCCGGGGUGCCCAUCCAUAAAUGGUUGACUUUCCAGGGUGUCCCUUUUUAGCUUACUUUCGGGGAACAAGUCACACUUACUUUACUUGUGCUAACAUGUGUUCUUUGAAUGGAAGAAAUCCCUCUCGCAUAUUAUUGAAUAAGAGAAUUGAGGCUCAAGCAUAAGCCGGAGAAGAAUCAUAAUAAGGAAAGUGUUAUACAGAAAAGGAAGCAGUGCUUGUAAAGUAAACGAGAGAAGAAGUAGUUUCAUCCGUAUAAGGAGCAGGUGAGGAAGUUCGAGUUAAUGAUGGUGCUCCUACUCGGGCAGUUCCACUGUUCUUGUUCUAGGAUCAGAAGUAGGAGAAGUCAAGUCGACAAAAGAUGGAGCUGGAUCUGAAGCAGUGCUAGGAAAGUCGAAGUCAAGUUCUGAGAAAGAAGGAAGUACUGGUGUGGUG